UGGGGAAUAUUGCACAAUGGGGGAAACCCUGAUGCAGCGACGUAGCGUGCGGGAUGACGGCCUUGGGGUUGUAAACUGCUUUCAGCAGGGAAGAAGCGAAAGUGACGGUACCUGCAGAAGAAGUACCGGCGUACUACGUGCCAGCACCAGCGGUAAUACGUAGGGUACGAGCGUUGUCCGGAAUUAUUGGGCGUAAAGAGCUGGUAGGUGGUUGGUCACGUCUGCUGUGGAAACGCAACGCUUAACGUUGCGCGUGCAGUGGGUACGGGCUGACUAGAGUGCAGUAGGGGAGUCUGGAAUUCCUGGUGUAGCGGUGAAAUGCGCAGAUAACAUGAGGACCACCGGUGGCGAAGUCGGGACUCUGGGCUGUAACUUACACUGAGGAGCGAAAGCAUGGGGAGCGAACAGG
RNAcentral lists this ribosomal RNA (409 nucleotides) under Bacillota bacterium. Its description in RNAcentral is "Firmicutes bacterium partial 16S ribosomal RNA". It matches the Rfam family "Bacterial small subunit ribosomal RNA", at positions 355 to 776 of the family's 1533-position model. The record is from RNAcentral. Lineage: Bacteria; Bacillati; Bacillota.